AUUGAACGCUGGCGGCAUGCCUUACACAUGCAAGUCGAACGGUAACGCGGGGCAACCUGGCGACGAGUGGCGAACGGGUGAGUAAAGCAUCGGAACGUGCCCAGUAGUGGGGGAUAGCCCGGCGAAAGCCGGAUUAAUACCGCAUACGACCUAUGGGUGAAAGGGGGGGAUCGCAAGACCUCUCGCUAUUGGAGCGGCCGAUGUCAGAUUAGGUAGUUGGUGGGGUAAAGGCCUACCAAGCCGACGAUCUGUAGGUGGUCUGAGAGGCCGACCAGCCACACGGGGACUUGGACACGGCCCAGACUCCGACGGGAGUCAGCAGUGGGGAAUUUUGGACAAUGGGCGCAAGCCUGAUCCAGCCAUGCCGCGUGCGGGAAGAAGGCCUUCGGGUUGUAAACCGCUUUUGUCAGGGAAGAAAUCCUUUGGGUUAAUACCUCGGGGGGAUGACGGUACCUGAAGAAUAAGCACCGGCUAACUACGUGCCAGCCGCCGCGGUAA
This 498-nucleotide ribosomal RNA is filed under the name uncultured bacterium. RNAcentral's name for it is "partial 16S ribosomal RNA". It matches the Rfam family "Bacterial small subunit ribosomal RNA", at positions 29 to 523 of the family's 1533-position model. The record is from RNAcentral.